Long non-coding RNA from Carya illinoinensis, 1466 nucleotides. RefSeq lists it as uncharacterized. The record is from RefSeq and is a predicted model, not a curated record. The transcript has 2 exons. Lineage: Eukaryota; Viridiplantae; Streptophyta; Magnoliopsida; Fagales; Juglandaceae.
UGCACCAAAUAUAUUCAGGUUACCAAAACUUGACGAUGGGCUCCCUUGAUUGGGGCAGGUUUAAGUUAUGGGCGGGCUGUUCGAAUUUGAACCCGAGGCCCAUUGAGGCACCGCACUGGUUUUAAAGUUUGCUUUCCGAUCCCCUCUCUUUCUCGGCCCCAGUUCACAAAAACCCAAUGCUUUCUCUCCCUUGUCUUAACCUAUAGGUCCAUAUAUCCGAACCCAAAGGGGUGAUAUCUCGGCCACCAAAUGCUUCACCGACUAACAGGAGAUGUUAUCACACUAUUUGUCUGUGACGAUUUUUCCAUCACCCAGCAAACUAUUGAAUAUGUCUACCUCUAGAAGGCCUAACGUCGAGCCACUUUUUAAACCUAGCCUGCAAGUCACUUUAGCCGUCCCGGAAAACCCUAGCUAAAUCUUCUAUAAAUCGCCGUCUCCUCCUUACCUUUUAAGCUUGCCUCGCUUCGCUCUUCAGUUCCUCACCUUCUUGCGCUCAUUCUUAAGCUUAUAUUUCGCCCUAGUUCGUAGGUUUUGUGUUUAUAUAUACACAUAUGAUUAUAUUGGGGAGGGCAAAUGACGAAGAUUCUUGAUUGUUAGAAUGCUCGAACUUUGAUUUUGGGUAUGAUGAUCCAACAAUUUUGAAUAGGAAGAUCUGAUGCCUCUCUUUCUCUAAUAUUCAUUUCAAUUAUCUUUCGCACUGUUUCGCUAUAUUUUUUAGUUCUGGUGUUUUUAAUGUUUUCAUUUUCUUUUCCCUAUAUCAUCUACGAGUAAGGAAACUCAUGAAGCAUACGGUUGUAUUCAUGAAUUCCGACCUCAUAAAAUAGUUGCUGGUCACACAUUUAUAUUAUAAUUCUUUUUGUUAUAGUUGUUGGUAAAUAGCCAAUGAUGAAGAUCUUGAAAUCGACUGAAAUGCAAGUUAAUGGUAAACUUGUAAACUUGUCGAAAAUCAUGAACUAGGACGGUCUGAGGCUCUGUUUUUUGUCCAUACAUUUGCAUAUAUCGUGUUGCGGAGUCUUGAUGCUAACACGGUGAAAUCCACGGGAUCGGUCGGUCGAUGUUCCGCCCAUAUUUCCUCCUAUUAUCAGAAUUUGUUGUAAAUAGAAUCUGGGGUGCUGUAUAACACAAGCCAGUUGUGAAUAUGUAGGUCUUUAGAAUGAUGACCGACCGAUCAAUGCGAAAGCUUUGGGCAUUUAAGAAGGGAUGAUUACUGGGUUAAAAUGGUUCCAUUGUUUCAGUUUUUGGAAAUGUGCAUACAAUUUAUGUGUCAAUUGGUGAAUGGUAGGGAAAGGAUAUCUGCCGUGCGAUAUGUAGAAUUUCAAGAGAGACGCACAUAAGCCAAAUAAUGUCGAGACUUCCACUUAUUGGGUUCCAUGGUAGUAAUUGUUAUUUGAAAUGUAUUUCUCGAAAAUAUAUUCUAUUAUUGGCAUUUGAUUGGGGAAAUGAAUACUACCUUCAGCGGAUGAAAA